Molecule: ribosomal RNA, 326 nt
Filed under: uncultured eukaryote
Lineage: Eukaryota
Description: partial 18S ribosomal RNA
Rfam family: Eukaryotic small subunit ribosomal RNA
Source: RNAcentral
CCCUUAGAUGUUCUGGGCCGCACGCGCGCUACACUGAUGCAUUCAACGAGCACCCGCUGGGCCGAGAGGUCCGGCUAAUCUUUGAACGUGCAUCGUGCUGGGGAUAGAUGAUUGCAAUUAUUCAUCUUCAACGAGGAAUUCCUAGUAAACGCAAGUCAUCAGCUUGCAUUGAUUACGUCCCUGCCCUUUGUACACACCGCCCGUCGCACCUACCGAUUGAAUGGUCCGGUGAAGGCUUCGGAGGCGGCUUUCUCAAUGUUUAUUCGGCGAGACUGCUGCCAAAGUUGAAUGAACCUUACCAUUUAGAGGAAGGUGAAGUCGUAACA